This is a non-coding RNA of Caerostris extrusa, 109 nucleotides long. NCBI's taxonomy places the organism in Eukaryota, Metazoa, Arthropoda, Arachnida, Araneae, Araneidae. The record is from the annotation of a GenBank genome assembly.
AACGGCCAUACCAUGCUGAAUAUACCGGUUCUCGUUAGAUCACCGAAGUCAAGCAUCAGGCGCGGUCAGUACUUGGGUGGGUGACCACCUGGGAACACCGCUUGCUGUU